UAACCUUCCUGGUAAACCAGACGUGAGUGAAUUUUAUUUAAAUUAAAAGGUAAUUUUUAGAUUUCUUUGAUACUUCCAAGAUUAAUUCUUCUCUCAAUACAUUAUCCAUUGUUCUUUAUACAAUUAUUACCUAAAUAUAUUACAUUUUCAAACGUUUAGAAACUUUAACUUUCGUUUUUGGCUCGAACAUAACAUACACAUCUUUAUGAUUAUUUAUAUUAUGUCCCAGAUCCGAGGCAAGUUGUUUAUAAUGUCUUCGUUAUAAACAAGGAUAUAUAAAAAAGAAUAUGCACGGUACUAUACCAAUACUUGGAUUAUGAAUAUAAUCAUACUAGCCAUAUGACCAAGAAAAGUCACUUAAAUCUUGUGCACCUUGUAUGUCGUUAUUCAAAGGGCCAAUGGUGAAAACACCAGAAAAUAACAACUAAAAUGUAAGCAAGAAGUUCAAAUCACGUAGGAAUAAUCAGCCAGCAUAUCCUUUAUUGUGAAACAAAAUUGAAUUCUAAAUUGUUUUAACAUAAAUACUUGAGGUUACAAGAGCGCAAUUAUUGGUCAUGCAUUUUCCAUCGGGUACCACUGGUGUUCUGUAUUUUCCCCCUCGAAGAACUACACAAACAAGGGAAGAACGGGUAGCAGUUCCUGUUACUAGAAAUGUCAGUGUUGCAUUACAACCAAAAAAAUAUUAUAUGGUCAUGCGGCAAAAGUUGACUUAAAAUGCAGUUGAAAAAGAACGUCUAUUUUUUUCGCUUAAUGAAAAAGGCAUAUUUUUAAUGGCUCCGAAGUGCAGAAAUGGAAUAUUGUCUAUGCUUUGUAAAAUAUGAAUAUGAUAUUCUCGCAUUUUUUAAACCUAAUUGGAUAAACUUUCGAUUAAAUGUAAUUCCAAUCCUGUAUCAUCCAAUCAGAAGCCGUAUAGGAUUCUAAUAUGAGUACUAUCUUGGGGUAAAAAAAAAACUGCCGGUAAAAUGUAAGCAAAUAAUUGCGCUCUUGUAACCUUGAAAUAGCUUCAAAAUAAUGUCGAAAACCGUACCUCUAUUUUUAUUGUGUAAAUAUAACAAUAUAAAAAUUAACAAGUACCUACUAAUCUUUAAAGGUUUGAAUUUAAUAUUCUUCUCCUCGUCGAGAGAAAAAAAAAAACGAAACUCAAUUUGAUUCAUGCAUAAAAUGUUUUAUUUAUUCAUCUCUUCGUCUACUUUACCAAGAUAAUUUUUGAAUAUCUUAGGCAGAAUAAAAAAAAAGAUGUGUGUUGUUCAAAUAACGGUACCCACCCUAUUUUUUAGUAAAAAAAAAUGUUUAGUUUAAAUUUUUUUUUUUUGGCAUUCAAUAAGCACUUUCAAAGUCAGAAUGUCCCUUCCAUACACUGAAGGUAAUAAAAAGGUAAUAACACGGAGCUAUUAUAAGGCAUUUGCUUUAAAAACUAAUUUUCAUACAUACAUUAUAUUAUACACAAGUGCAUGUAUAUACACUUUCAUUUAAUUACAUUGUUCAAUAUAGAGACAUAUCCAUUCUCUUUCACUAACUAUAUUCAACUCUCUCGAAUCGCAACAUUUAGCAACUUUUAUUAUCGCGAAGGCCUUCAUCACUUUCAUGACUUUCUCACACAUUAAAAUCGUCAUUCAUCUCUAGAUCACACAAGUAUAGGAACAUAAUAUAAACAAACAAACAGAAACAUAAAUUAUACGGCUUCUAAUUAAAAUGAUUACAGUUAAAACACAAACAGCUGCAUCAUAUAUUAAAUUUAACGGUCAAUCAGACAGUCAGCUUAAGUUGUAAAAUCGGAGUUCACGAAAACAAUAAAUCUACAAAUACUGAACACGUUUGACCAAUCGUCGUAUUUUCUAAGUUAAUGAACCUUACAUAUAAAGUAAAAUCGAACUGAACUUCUUUAUCUAUUUUCAAAUUUUCCACUUUCUCUUAUGAAAGGUUAAAAUGUUCGAUUUUAUGAAUUUAAAUAUUUUGACAUUCGAUCGGACGUAACAUAAGCUUCACAAAUAAAAUUUAUUUUGAAUUUGGACAAUUAAAUAACUAUGGAAAUGAGAUCAGUGAGAAUUAUUUCUAAUUUUAGAGUAUAUACUUUUGAAGAUGAGGCCACCGAUUGAACAACUAUUGUUAUGACUAUUCAUUUAUCAUUGAUUCUAAUUUUGUAGUGUGUUUAAUGGCGGCAUCAUCUCAAAGUUGUGGUGUCUGUGACCUCCGCCACCUCACCAAACCAUCAAUAGUCUGGUGUACAGAAUGUGACGAGGGAUUAUGUACAGAAUGCAACGAACAUCAUGGUUUGUCUAAGGCAUCGCGAAGUCAUAGUGUAAUACCUAUUGCCGAAUACCAGAAACUACCAGCUAAUGUACUGAAAAGUACUCAGUAUUGUUCCAGUCACGAUAAAAAAUAUCAAUUUUAUUGCCAGAAGCAUGAAUGUCCCUGCUGUAGCAAAUGUAUGAUGGAAAGUCACAAAGAAUGUCAGGGAUUGGUAGAAUUAGAUGACGUCAUUCAUAGCGUCAAAACCUCCAAUGCCCUGUGUGAGAUAGAGGAAACAUUAGUUGAAGUAGCAGAAAAUCUACAGAAAAUUCGCCAGCAUCAACAAGACAAUCUGUUGACUUUUAAAGAAAAAAGAAAAGAAAUCGAAAAAGAAAUUAAGAAAACUAGAAUGAAGAUCAACAACCACCUCGACAAACUACAAGAAGAUUUAAUGAAACAACUCAACGAGCUCGAAGAAAAAGAAAACUCUAAAAAUUUGUCAGUUAAUGGUCCUCGCUAGAAAAGAAAGAAAAAGAAAUAGGAGAAUGCCAAAAUAGCCUAUUGAACAUCAAGAAACACGCAACAGAUCUUCAAAUGUUUCUCUCAAUUAAGCAAAUAGAAGAGGACGUUUAUAGCAAAGAAAAACAAUUGCAGGCUCUUGUAGAAGGCAAGGAACAGCAUACUCUUUCAUAUCAGAUCAACACCUCUAUCCAGAAUAUCAUAUCCGAUAUCAGAAGUUUUG
This 2971-nucleotide long non-coding RNA is filed under the name Mytilus galloprovincialis (Mediterranean mussel). Lineage: Eukaryota; Metazoa; Mollusca; Bivalvia; Mytilida; Mytilidae. The record is from RNAcentral.